RNAcentral lists this transfer RNA (72 nucleotides) under Marmota monax (woodchuck). RNAcentral describes it as "tRNA.Ala". Lineage: Eukaryota; Metazoa; Chordata; Mammalia; Rodentia; Sciuridae. The record is from RNAcentral.
UGGGUUGUAGCUCAGUGGUGGAGCGCUUACCUAGCAUGUGUGAGGUGCUAAGUUCCAUCCUCAGCACCACAU